CGCCGCGGUCCGUGAGGCGGGCGCAGGCGAAAGACGCUCCGAGCGGCUCGAAAAAAGCAUUUUUACUGGGGAGAAAACAUCUGGAUUUCAGCAUCCACAAAAUCUUUCUUUUUUUCUCCCCAGGAACAGCAGCUGUGACUUCCAUUUUAGCUGUUCCUCCAUCUUCUUUUCCAUAAAUAAAAUGCUUUUUCAGUCUCUGUUU
Long non-coding RNA from Corvus hawaiiensis (hawaiian crow), 202 nucleotides. RefSeq lists it as uncharacterized. The record is from RefSeq and is a predicted model, not a curated record. Lineage: Eukaryota; Metazoa; Chordata; Aves; Passeriformes; Corvidae. The transcript is spliced from 2 exons.